Molecule: long non-coding RNA, 257 nt
Filed under: Pan troglodytes (chimpanzee)
Lineage: Eukaryota; Metazoa; Chordata; Mammalia; Primates; Hominidae
Description: long non-coding RNA NONPTRT012420
Source: RNAcentral
AGGAGCCCAUCUGUUGAGAUGAGAACCUGUGAAGAUGGAAGGAACCUAGAUGUUUGAGUCAUGGGGUGGAGAAGAGACCAUGUAAACCUACAUUGAAAUUUGUGUGACUCCCUCCCCCUCAACCAGCUUAGAAGUCGGGUGGAAGAGGAAGCUGAAUGGAACAACAUGAGCCCUGGUCAGGGCAGACUUAAGCCAGGAGAUGAAGUGCCAUAUACAGAGAAAACCUCAGUGGGAUCCCAGAUGGAGCACAAUUCCUG